AUCUAAUCAUCAGGAAACAUCAGACAAAUUUGAAUUGAGGGACAUUUUGCAAAAUAACCUGCCUGUAAUCUUCAAAUGUGUCAGAAUCUUCAAACAUGUCAUGAAAGUUGCAUACUGCUUAUCUAGGAGAAUCUCUUUGUUUGUAGAAAUACACAUCAAAAUUGGAAGAGAAAAGGAAAUUGGGAAGAAAAGGAGGAAGGAAGGAAAUAAUAUAGAGAAUGGAAUACUGCACAAUAAUGAAACUGAAUGAACUAAAGAGGCAGAUGGACCCUCACCCAAAAUUUGAGCAGGAUGCCCAAACUGAUGAUGCCAUGCACACACCGA
Manis javanica (Malayan pangolin) is the source of this 324-nucleotide non-coding RNA. The record is from RefSeq and is a predicted model, not a curated record. NCBI's taxonomy places the organism in Eukaryota, Metazoa, Chordata, Mammalia, Pholidota, Manidae.